GAUGAACGCUGGCGGCGUGCCUAAUACAUGCAAGUCGAGCGAACAGACGAGGAGCUUGCUCCUCUGACGUUAGCGGCGGACGGGUGAGUAACACGUGGAUAACCUACCUAUAAUACUGGGAUAACUUCGGGAAACCGGAGCUAAUACCGGAUAAUAUAUUGAACCGCAUGGUUCAAUAGUGAAAGACGGUUUUGCUGUCACUUAUAGAUGGAUCCGCGCCGCAUUAGCUAGUUGGUAAGGUAACGGCUUACCAAGGCAACGAUGCGUAGCCGACAUGAGAGGGUGAUCGGCGACACUGGAAGUGAGACACGGACCAGACUCCUACGGGAGGCAGCAGUAGGGAAUCUUCCGCAAUGGGCGAAAGCCUGACGGAGCAACGCCGCGUGAGUGAUGAAGGUCUUCGGAUCGUAAAACUCUGUUAUUAGGGAAGAACAAAUGUGUAAGUAACUAUGCACGUCUUGACGGUACCUAAUCAGAAAGCCACGGCUAACUACGUG
Molecule: ribosomal RNA, 497 nt
Filed under: uncultured bacterium
Lineage: Bacteria
Description: partial 16S ribosomal RNA
Rfam family: Bacterial small subunit ribosomal RNA
Source: RNAcentral